CAGACCCUCUGGAUCGGCUCUGAGGGACCCCCAAAAGUGAUGCCAGCAGCUGUGGCCACCCCAGCAUCCCUGAAAGCUUGGUUGGGUCUCUGUUUGUGGGUUGGGAUCCUGGAGCUGAGCACAGGGAGGGUGGGACAGCUCCCAGAGCCCCGGGCAUCCCAGGGAUUCCCUCUACAAAUCCCACCUGCAUCCCAGGGAUUCCCUCUACAAAUCCCACCUGCAUCCCAGGGAUUCCCUCUACAAAUCCCACCUGCAUCCCAGGGAUUCCCUCUACGAAUCCCACCUGCAUCCCAGGGAUUCCCUCUACAAAUCCCACCUGCAUCCCAGAGAUUCCCUUCAUCCCAAAGAUUCCCUCCACACAUCCCAGUGCAUCCCAGAGAUUCCUGUCACCUUCAUCCCAGAGAUUUCCUCCACCUGCAUCCCAAAGGUUCCUUUCAUCUGCAUCCCAAAGGUUCCCAUCAUUUACAUCCCAAAGAUUCCCGUCACCUCCAUCCCAAAAAUUCCUGUCACCUCCAUCUCAAAGAUCCCUGUAACCUCCAUCCCAAAGAUUCCCAUCACCUCCAUCCCAAAGAUUCCCAUCACCUCCAUCCCAAAGAUUCCCAUCACCUCCAUCCCAAAGAUUCCCAUCACCUCCAUCCCACAGGGAUGCACUCUCCCACCCCACACUCCCACCAGGAAAAUCCCAGUCCCUGUGUCCCAAAUCCCAGCAAUGCUCAGCAGGGAUGGACUCCUCACCCUUUUUUUUUAGGGGGGGUUUGGACACCCCAAAAAACCCCAAAAUUAAAAUUAAUCCCACUGAAAAAUUGGUUUCAAGGUGCUCCUCUUCCCAGGAGUGCCAGCAAACCCCAAAAUUAAAAAUAAUCCCAGUGCCAGAGCAGAAUUACUGUAUUCCCCCAGAAAUCCCCAAGAUUAAAAAUAACCCCACUGAAAAUGCAGUCUUCAUAUGCUCCCCUGCUCAGAGACCCCAGAAAACCCUGAAAUUUUAAAAUAAUCCCACUGAAAAAGCAGUUUUAACAUUGUCCCCUUCCCAGGGACCCCAGAAAACUCCAAACUUAAAAAUAAUCUUGCUGAAAUUUUGGUUUCAAAGUGUUCCCCUUCCCAGGAGUGCCAGCAAAUCCCAAAAUUAAAA
This 1129-nucleotide long non-coding RNA is filed under the name Serinus canaria (Common canary). Its description in RNAcentral is "lncRNA (ENSSCAG00000010282.1)". The record is from RNAcentral. Lineage: Eukaryota; Metazoa; Chordata; Aves; Passeriformes; Fringillidae.